Priapulus caudatus is the source of this 448-nucleotide long non-coding RNA. RefSeq lists it as uncharacterized. The transcript is spliced from 3 exons. NCBI's taxonomy places the organism in Eukaryota, Metazoa, Priapulida, Priapulimorpha, Priapulimorphida, Priapulidae. The record is from RefSeq and is a predicted model, not a curated record.
GACGGACGCUCCUGAUGGGAAGUUUCUUAAGCAAAACUUUUGUGUUUUGGUUUUAGAACACAACUUAAACUGCAAUUAAAACGUCGACGCUGAUGUUGCCAUGUCGACCAGAAGCGUGCGUGCACGCGAGGUGCUGCUAGUAUGGCCGGAGGGUCGAAUGACGCAGGGCGUACUCUACACUACGAACGGGAACUAACAAAGCAACUGAUCGAGGAGCUGCUCCAGACUGACCUAGUGACCCUAGUGGACACGAAGUAUCGUCUGAGCCCUGAACCCACGUGGGCUUGUUGAACGCAUGCACUAGCCGUUAAAAAACGCAGACCACAUAAACAAUAGUAAUUAACCCAAAGAUACUCCCACCGCAUGCAGGCAGGGACAUUGGGUCUGUGCUGCGUUAUCUUGCAUGUUAUUACCUCGGCAACGGAGUUGCAGGGAGGUAAUGUGACAC